CAACCCUCGACCUUAGUUGCCAGCAUUCAGUUGGGCACUCUAAGGUGACUGACCGGCUAAAAGUCGGAGGAAGGUGGGGAUGACGUCAAAUCAUCAUGCCCCUUAUGACCUGGGCUACACACGUGCUACAAUGGGCGGUACAAAGGGUCGCGAACCCGCGAGGGGGAGCCAAUCCCAAAAAAGCCGCUCUCAGUUCGGAUUGCAGGCUGCAACUCGCCUGCAUGAAGCCGGAAUCGCUAGUAAUCGCGGAUCAGCAUGCCGCGGUGAAUACGUUCCCGGGCCUU
RNAcentral lists this ribosomal RNA (284 nucleotides) under uncultured Paenibacillus sp. Its description in RNAcentral is "partial 16S ribosomal RNA". It matches the Rfam family "Bacterial small subunit ribosomal RNA", at positions 1099 to 1382 of the family's 1533-position model. Lineage: Bacteria; Bacillati; Bacillota; Bacilli; Caryophanales; Paenibacillaceae. The record is from RNAcentral.